This 443-nucleotide ribosomal RNA is filed under the name uncultured bacterium. Its description in RNAcentral is "partial 16S ribosomal RNA". It matches the Rfam family "Bacterial small subunit ribosomal RNA", at positions 338 to 795 of the family's 1533-position model. The record is from RNAcentral.
CCUACGGGUGGCAGCAGUGGGGAAUAUUGGACAAUGGGGGGAACCCUGAUCCAGCGACGCCGCGUGAGUGAAGAAGUAUUUCGGUAUGUAAAGCUCUAUCAGCAGGGAAGAAAGAAAUGACGGUACCUGACUAAGAAGCCCCGGCUAACUACGUGCCAGCAGCCGCGGUAAUACGUAGGGGGCAAGCGUUAUCCGGAUUUACUGGGUGUAAGGGGAGCGUAGGCGGCGAUGCAAGUCUGAAGUGAAAGGCGGGGGCCCAACCCCCGGACUGCUUUGGAAACUGUAUGGCUGGAGUGCAGGAGAGGUAAGUGGAAUUCCUAGUGUAGCGGUGAAAUGCGUAGAUAUUAGGAGGAACACCAGUGGCGAAGGCGGCUUACUGAACUGUAACUGACGUUGAGGCUCGAAAGCGUGGGGAGCAAACAGGAUUAGAUACCCCUGUAGUC